UACGUAGGGUGCAAGCGUUGUCCGGAAUUAUUGGGCGUAAAGGGCUCGUAGGCGGUCCAUCGCGUCGGGAGUGAAAAGCUGGGGCUUAACCCCAGUCCUGCUUCCGAUACGGGUGGACUAGAGGUAGGUAGGGGAGAACGGAAUUCCUGGUGUAGCGGUGAAAUGCGUAGAUAUCAGGAGGAACACCGGCGGCGAAGGCGGCCCUCUGGAUCGUUGCUGACGCUGAGACGCGAAAGCGUGGGGAGCAAACAGG
Molecule: ribosomal RNA, 253 nt
Filed under: uncultured bacterium
Lineage: Bacteria
Description: partial 16S ribosomal RNA
Rfam family: Bacterial small subunit ribosomal RNA
Source: RNAcentral